UACGUAGGUGACAAGCGUUGUCCGGAUUUACUGGGCGUAAAGAGCGCGCAGGCGGUCGUUCAAGUCGAGUGUGAAAGCCCCCGGCUCAACUGGGGAGGGUCAUUCGAUACUGAUCGACUCGAAGGCAGGAGAGGGAAGUGGAAUUCCCGGUGUAGUGGUGAAAUGCGUAGAUAUCGGGAGGAACACCAGUGGCGAAGGCGACUUCCUGGACUGUUCUUGACGCUGAGGCGCGAAAGCUAGGGGAGCAAACGGG
RNAcentral lists this ribosomal RNA (253 nucleotides) under uncultured bacterium. RNAcentral's name for it is "partial 16S ribosomal RNA". It matches the Rfam family "Bacterial small subunit ribosomal RNA", at positions 524 to 776 of the family's 1533-position model. The record is from RNAcentral.